AUUGAACGCUGGCGGCAGGCCUAACACAUGCAAGUCGAGCGGUAACAGAAAUUAGCUUGCUAAUUUGCUGACGAGCGGCGGUCGGGUGAGUAAUGCCUGGGAAUAUGCCUUGAUGUGGGGGAUAACUAUUGGAAACGAUAGCUAAUACCGCAUAAUGUCUUCGGACCAAAGAGGGGGAUCUUCGGACCUCUCGCGUCAAGAUUAGCCCAGGUGAGAUUAGCUAGUUGGUGAGGUAAGAGCUCACCAAGGCGACGAUCUCUAGCUGGUCUGAGAGGAUGAUCAGCCACACUGGGACUGAGACACGGUCCAGACUCCUACGCGAGGCAGCAGUGGGGAAUAUUGCACAAUGGGCGAAAGCCUGAUGCAGCCAUGCCGCGUGUAUGAAGAAGGCCUUCGGGUUGUAAAGUACUUUCAGUAGGGAGGAAGGUGUUGUAGUUAAUAGCUGCAGCAUUUGACGUUACCUACAGAAGAAGCACCGGCUAACUCCGUGCCAGCAGCCGCGGUAAUACGGAGGGUGCGAGCGUUAAUCGGAAUUACUGGGCGUAAAGCGCAUGCAGGUGGUUCAUUAAGUCAGAUGUGAAAGCCCGGGGCUCAACCUCGGAACCGCAUUUGAAACUGGUGAACUAGAGUGCUGUAGAGAGGGGUAGAAUUUCA
RNAcentral lists this ribosomal RNA (654 nucleotides) under uncultured Vibrionaceae bacterium. RNAcentral describes it as "bacterial SSU rRNA". It matches the Rfam family "Bacterial small subunit ribosomal RNA", at positions 28 to 671 of the family's 1533-position model. The record is from RNAcentral. Lineage: Bacteria; Pseudomonadati; Pseudomonadota; Gammaproteobacteria; Vibrionales; Vibrionaceae.